GCCGGUCCCGGCCCGCCGGCGGCCGACGUCGGCGCGGUGCCGCCCCGCGGCGAGGCCGAAGUUAGCGGGCGCCCGGGCCGUGGGGCGGGGGCUUCCGAGCGAAGUUUGUGUUACGUCGGGCUGCGGCGGUGAGCAUCACCCUGCCCGGGAGCGCUUAUCGCGCGAAACCUGCGGACUUCUCUGCCGUCGUGUCUCCGCAUACAACCUUUAGUCUAUCUGAAGUUCUUGCACUGGGGUGACGUGGGCGAUAUAAACUGACAAGUCAUGGUGGUAAUGAAAAACAAACUCUGUACAUCCAGGCAGGCUUCCAUCAGUGCUGUAGAACUCUGGCCCUUUAAACGAGAUCUCACCUACGGUCACGUUCUGAUUCCGCCUCCCCUCCUUCCUAGCACGUAAUUAAGUUAUGAAGAUUGUGUCAUGGAACUUCGCUCUGAGACUCAUAAGGGGAAUGAACACGCACCAGGUUUUAGGAAGAAGCCAUUUCGUGUUGUGUAGCUUAAUGAACUAUCACACGGACAAACACUUGGAGAGUUCUGCUUCUUCAGGGGAACAGCGGUGGGCAUUCCACUCGAGAUUUCUUUCCAGUGCAGACAUCCAACAGGAGGUCAGAGGACUGCUUUGGGAAAACUGUUGCUGCUGUCUGCUUGUAAAGCAUGGUGGUGCAGUAAUGGCUCUGUGCUGCUGAAGGGCUGGUUUUUGUGCAGUACUUGUUGUGAACAUCUCUUCUGUGAGAAAGCCCGGAGUGUUUGUGCUGUCGGCGAGUGGGAAGCACCAGCUCUGCAGCUGGCUGUGCAGCGGGUACUCAUCCUUCCUGCUCACUUCCUUUUUGUUUGUGUUUUUUCUAGAUCUUCCUAGAUUUUCACAUACGUUUAGGCAUGAGUGAAAUCAGUCUUUUCUUGAGCAACGCUUUAAAAACAAAGAACCUGUUGCAUGUAGAGAAAGCAACUGUAAUGCAUAAAAUUUAUACCGAAGGUUAGAGCUCUGAAAGUGCUGCAGAAACAAUUUUUUGUCUUCUGUUAGUUGAAAACAAAACACCAGUUAUUGCCUCCUUCUCAGGUACUUAGUAACAGAAACCAAUUAUGAUAGUUUUUUUUCUGGGGAAAAGGAGAGAGGAUAGGUGCUGGGACCAUGUAAUGGUGAAUGAACCAAGAUGAGCUGUGAGCAGCAGCCUCGGAGGCUUUGGAGCAAUUACAGAGUGGGAAAGAGUGCUCUUUGCCUCAUGUACAGACUGCAGUGCAGGUGAAUCUGAGGUGGAAUGGUUGCUUGUGGGGUAC
This 1274-nucleotide long non-coding RNA is filed under the name Chrysolophus pictus (golden pheasant). Its description in RNAcentral is "lncRNA (ENSCPIG00010007133.1)". Lineage: Eukaryota; Metazoa; Chordata; Aves; Galliformes; Phasianidae. The record is from RNAcentral.